AGUGAACGCUGGCGGCAUGCCUAACACAUGCAAGUCGAACGGCAGCACAGUAAGAGCUUGCCCUUACAGGUGGCGAGUGGCGGACGGGUGAGGAAUACAUCGGAAUCUACUUUUUCGUGGGGGACAACGUAGGGAAACUUACGCUAAUACCGCAUACGACCUACGGGUGAAAGCAGGGGAUCUUCGGACCUUGCGCGAUUGAAUGAGCCGAUGUCGGAUUAGCUAGUUGGCGGGGUAAAGGCCCACCAAGGCGACGAUCCGUAGCUGGUCUGAGAGGAUGAUCAGCCACACUGGAACUGAGACACGGUCCAGACUCCUACGGGAGGCAGCAGUGGGGAAUAUUGGGCAAUGGGCGCAAGCCUGAUGCAGCAAUGCCGCGUGGGUGAAGAAGGCCUUCGGGUUGUAAAGCCCUUUUGUUGGGAAAGAACAGCAGCAGAUUAAUACGCCGCUGUUCUGACGGUACCUAAAGAAUAAGCACCGGCUAACUUCGUG
This 492-nucleotide ribosomal RNA is filed under the name uncultured bacterium. RNAcentral describes it as "partial 16S ribosomal RNA". It matches the Rfam family "Bacterial small subunit ribosomal RNA", at positions 29 to 507 of the family's 1533-position model. The record is from RNAcentral.